UACGGGGGGGGGCAAGCGUUGUUCGGAAUUACUGGGCGUAAAGGGCCAGUAGGCGGCCAACUAAGUCCGACGUGAAAUCCCAAGGCUUAACCUUGGAACUGCGUCGGAUACUGGAUGGCUUGAAUUCGGGAGAGGGAUGCAGAAUUCCAGGUGUAGCGGUGAAAUGCGUAGAUAUCUGGAGGAAUACCGGUGGCGAAGGCGGCAUCCUGGACCGACAUUGACGCUGAACGGCGAAAGCUAGGGGAGCAAACAGG
This 254-nucleotide ribosomal RNA is filed under the name uncultured bacterium. RNAcentral describes it as "partial 16S ribosomal RNA". It matches the Rfam family "Bacterial small subunit ribosomal RNA", at positions 524 to 776 of the family's 1533-position model. The record is from RNAcentral.